RNAcentral lists this ribosomal RNA (1949 nucleotides) under Actinomycetota bacterium. Its description in RNAcentral is "partial 23S ribosomal RNA". It matches the Rfam family "Bacterial large subunit ribosomal RNA", at positions 1 to 2019 of the family's 2925-position model. Lineage: Bacteria; Bacillati; Actinomycetota. The record is from RNAcentral.
GAGUACGUAAGCAAAGGGCGCCUGGGGAAUGCCUAGGCUUCUGGCGGCGAUGAAGGACGCGGCAAGCAGCGAAAUGCAACGGGGACCUGCUGGCAGGGAUUGAUCCGUUGGUGUCCGAAUGGGGCAACCCACUCCAAUGAUGUUGGAGUAUCCCGAAAGGGAGGCAGACGCGGGGAACUGAAACAUCUAAGUACCCGCAGGAAAAGAAAACAAGUAGUGAUUCCCUUAGUAGUGGCGAGCGAGGAGGGAACAGCCUAAACCAUCUGAGUUACGGCUCAGGCGGGGUUGUAGGACCUGACAAAAGCUAGUGAAGCGAACUGGAACGAUCUGGGAAGGUCGGCCGUAGCGGGUGAAAGCCCCGUACAGGCAGUUGAGCUAGUGGGUUGGGUAUCCUGAGUAGGCGGGGGCCGGAGGAACCCCCGUUGAAGCUACCGGCACCAUCCGGUAAGGCUAAAUACGACCAGAAGACCGAUAGUGGAUAGUACCGUGAGGGAACGGUGAAAAGUACCGGGAGUACCGGGGUGAAAUAGAACCUGAAACCAGGCGCUUACAAGCGGUCGGAGCUUCUUUAUGGAGUGACGGCGUGCCUUUUGCAUAAUGAGCCUACGAGUGACUCUUCCUGGCCAGAUUAAGCACAUUGAUGUGCGGAGUCGAAGCGAAAGCAAGUCUGAAUAGGGCGCUAAGUCAGGGGGAGUCGACGCGAAACUUGGUGAUCUACCCAUGGCCAGGUUGAAGGUGGGGUAACACUCACUGGAGGACCGAACCAGUAAACGUUGAAAAGUUUUUGGAUGAGUUGUGGGUAGGGGUGAAAGGCCAAUCAAACUGAGAAAUAGCUCGUACUCUCCGAAAUGUUUUUAGGAACAGCGUUCCGGUUUGUCCCCUUUGAGGUAGAGCGACCAACAGGAUGCGGGGGUGUCACAACCUACCAACUUCUGAUGAACUCCGAAUGCAAGGGGGAUUAAGGAGCAGUGAGGGGCAGGGUGCUAAGGUCCUGCUCCGAGAGGGGAACAACCCAGACCAUCCGCUAAGGUCCCCAAGUGUGUGCUAAGUUGAACAAAGGUGGUUCGGCUGCCGAGACAGCCAGGAGGUUAGCUUGGAAGCAGCUAUUCCUUUAAAGAGUGCGUAACAGCUCACUGGUCGAGCGGGGCGAGCAUCGAUAAUAAACGGGCAUCAAGCACAUCACCGAAGCGGUGGAUCGAUAGCUUAGGCUAUCUGAUGGUAGGAGAGCAUUCUGUGGGCGGAGAAGCCGAAGCGUGAGCUUUGGUGGAGCGCAUAGAAAAGCAAAUGUAGGCAUAAGUAACGAUAAGACAGGUGAGAACCCUGUCCACCGAAAGACUAAGGGUUCCCCGGCGAUGGCAGUCAUCCGGGGGUUAGUCGGGACCUAAGGCUAAGGCGAAGGCCGAUGCUGAUGGCAAGCAGGUUAAUAGUCCUGCACUGGCGUCUAUUUGUUCAUUGAUGACGGAGCUUCGUGGUCGCUGCGAGCGGCAGGAAGUGCUCGCCUGAGCUGAGCCCUUCGGGGCAAGGCGAAGCGGUGAAGAAGCUUCCAAGAAAAGUCAAUGAGCGUUAGGUAGAUGGCACCCGUACCGUAAACCGACACAGGUAGUCGAGGCGAAGAGCCUAAGGUGCACGAGAGAAUCAUGGCUAAGGAACUCGGCAAAAUUACCCUGUAACUUAGGGAGAAGGGGGGCCUACCCGUAAGGGAGGCUGCAGAGAAAAGGCCCAGGCGACUGUUUACCAAAAACACAGGACUCUGCUAAAUCGAGAGAUGAUGUAUAGGGUCUGACACCUGCCCGGUGCUGGAAGGUUAAGGGGGGGCGUUAGCCGCAAGGCGAAGCGCUGAACUGAAGCCCCAGUAAACGGCGGCCGUAACUAUAACGGUCCUAAGGUAGCGAAAUUCCUUGUCGGGUAAGUUCCGACCUGCACGAAUGGUGUAACGAUCUGGGCACUGU